UAGUCCACGCCGUAAACGAUGAGAACUAGAUGUUGGGAGGGUUUGCCUUUCGGUGUCGCAGCUAACGCGUUAAGUUCUCCGCCUGGGGAGUACGCCGGCAACGGUAAAACUCAAAGGAAUUGACGGGGACCCGCACAAGCGGUGGAGCAUGUGGUUUAAUUCGAUGCAACGCGAAGAACCUUACCUGCCCUUGACAUACUCGGAACUUUCCAGAGAUGGAUUGGUGCCUUCGGGAGCCGAGAUACAGGUGCUGCAUGGCUGUCGUCAGCUCGUGUCGUGAGAUGUUGGGUUAAGUCCCGCAACGAGCGCAACCCUUGUCCUUAGUUGCCAGCACGUAAUGGUGGGAACUCUAGGGAGACUGCCGGUGACAAACCGGAGGAAGGUGGGGAUGACGUCAAGUCAUCAUGGCCCUCACGGGCAGGGCUACACACGUGCUACAAUGGACGGUACAGACGGUCGCGAACCCGCGAGGGGAAGCCAAUCUGACAAAGCUGUUCGUAGUCCGGAUCGGAGU
Molecule: ribosomal RNA, 514 nt
Filed under: uncultured bacterium
Lineage: Bacteria
Description: bacterial SSU rRNA
Rfam family: Bacterial small subunit ribosomal RNA
Source: RNAcentral